This 2129-nucleotide long non-coding RNA is filed under the name Xyrichtys novacula (pearly razorfish). The record is from RNAcentral. Lineage: Eukaryota; Metazoa; Chordata; Actinopteri; Labriformes; Labridae.
AACAGACCUCUAUUCAACCAUCAAUUAUGAGGAGUUAGACCGCAUCGUAACUGAGCUUCACAGAAGACAUCCAAACACCGGCUACAAGCUCAUGCAAGGUCAUCUGGCUGCAAGAGGUGUGCGUGUUCCAGGUGAGUCUGUUACUAUGGUCAUUAUUUCAUUUAAUUUGCAAUGCAGAGCCAAUUGCAGAACAGACCUGACCCAUGAUUUUCAGGCUAAUAUUUAAUAGAGGUGUACAAUAUCUAGCUGGAUGCGCCCAGCGCCCCCCUUUUCCCCCAAUGCUGUAAGAGGUAUAUUAUGAUCAGGCUGAAAAUCACAGGCCAUGUUUGUCAUGGCAUACAGUCAGCAGUGUAAACCUGUGGCAUGCAGGAGCAGCUUGCUUUUGUCUAGUAACAGAGUGACAAUAUCUGACAGUUCAGCACAAUUUUGAGACUGGUGGUUCAUAUAGUGACAACUCCACAUCCUGUCUUGUAUUAGACAAGUGAAUGAGUAUUUUUGUUACAGUACUGGUCAAGUAGGGUGAAUAGUUGUUUUUAACGAAGUUGCCAAUGAGUGUAUAGUUAUUAUUCAUUUGAUUUCCCUUCCCUCAGUAUCAAGACUGCAACAGUCUUUACGCAGAGUCAAUGCAGAGGGAGUCUACAUGAGACGUCUAAGACUUCAUGUAUUGAAACGACGGCAGUAUUCUGUUCCUGGCCCAAACUCUUUGUGGCAUAUAGAUGGCAAUCAUAAGCUCAUCAGAUCAGUGAUCUUAGCAGAUUAACAAUACAUCUUUUCUCAGAUGUGCCAUUACUAUUGUUUUACAACAAAGUUGUGCUUUUUCAUGUGUUCAUGAUUGCUUGACAGAUGGAGAUUUGUUGUCCAUGGUGGGGUGGAUGGAUUCAGCCAUUUGGUGGUCUACCUAACUGUGGCAGGAAAUAAUAGAGCUUAUACAGUCCUUCAGAGCUUUAUUGCUGCAGUUGAGCAGUAUGGGCUGCCAUCAAGGGUACAGUCUGAUAAAGGGGUUGAGAAUGCAGAUGUAGCAGAAUUCAUGAUCAGGAGCAGAGGGACUGACAGGAAUUCACACAUCACAGGGAGAAGCGUCCAUAAUCAGUGGUAAAUAUAUGUUUGGUAGCUAUGCUCAGACGACAACCACAGCAGUUGAGUGUACAUCAUUGGCAUAGAUCUAACGUACAUUAAUACUGUCAAUUUUAUUCUUAAUACAGAAUAAAGUGGAUGUGGAUGGAUGUUUAUGAACAUGCCCUUGACCUCUUCUAUCAAAUUUUCACUUCAUAGGAAGAUCAGGGAACAUUGGAUCCAGACAAUGAAGUCCAUCUUCUUGCACUACACCGGAGCUUUCUCCCACUAAUUCAAAAAAGACUUGACUCUUUUAAAGAUGCUUGGAACUUUCAUGGUCUUAGAACUGAAAGGAAUCACUCACAACAGCAAGUCUGGAGAAGAUACAGAGAGCAAGGGCCCACGGAGGUUCCCAUUGAGGUUGGAGAAAAAUCAACUUAAAACACUUUUGUCUGUUUCCCAAAAAGUAUGGAGGAUUGUAUUUACUUCAUGUGUUACACUAUAGUGUCUACAGUCACCAAAUUAGCCAUUAAACCAUAAUUGUUGCCAUGCAUAAUAUACACAAUCAUUAUUUUUCUCAAAGGAAUAGGCAACAUUUGAUUUCUCAAUGACUUGGUUACCAAACAUAAUCUUAGAAACCAUGUGUAAUGAAAUGUCAGACUCGUUUUUAACCACAAGAUUGAUCAUGCUUGUCCUCCAUUCAGGUUUAUGAAGACUAUGGGAUCGACUGGAAUGGACCUCACAGUCUUCAUAGAGGCACUGUGUCAGUCCCCGAGAUUCAGCUGGCCCGAGAGCUCACAGACGAAGAGGUCCCCACUUUGCCAGCUCCAGGAUUGUCUGUCACUGGUGCAGUUAGAUCAUAUUUAGACACUGUGCAGGUUUUAACAAGAAUAACAGCAAACUGAUGUCCAACCCAUGCUUUUAUUUUGCCUCACAGACCAAGCAAAACUAAACUGGAAAAACUUCCUUUCCUCAGAUUUAAAAAAACAAAACAAAAACAAAACAACCAUAGUCACCACUGUGAUCUUUUAGAUGGACUUAUUCUACAUCUCAUUCUCCACAUAAUGGAUAACAAU